AAAUUUAAAAAAUAACAAAAAAACAAAGGGACUCUAAACCGUGAAACGCAGAAACAUCACUCUCAGUGCCUCGCCACUCUCCUCACACAAAACCACUCUCAGUGCCUUAUUCUCAAUGAGAAGUGAGAACCGCACACCAAUGUUCUCCUUCUUCUUCUCGAUCUCGCUCUCGCUCUCACAUCUCCAUCAUUCCAGGUUCUUCAUCGCUCAAAUCUCUUCCCAGUUUUCAUCUCAAUCUUAGUCGCGCUCUAAAUCCUUUUUCUCGGACAAGCUUGUGCUGAUUUCUAUUGAAAUCUCAAUCGUGCUCUAGUAAUCAGUACCUUUUAAAUAUGAAAGCCAAUGCUGUUCAAUUUAGUUCAAAAGGAAAUGGCCAAGAAAAUGUGGUAACAAUUCUUCACUUAGUAUUGCCAUCUACUUGCGCAUUUAUUGUUUCUCUAUUUUUUGUUUCUUUUAUUCACAUAUUGUAUUUUGAAUUUGCCUAAUUGAUUCUACCUUCUAUCAAAAUUUUCCUAGCUCAAAUUCACCUAGUGCUCCUCCAGUUUGCCUGUUAACUUCCUAUGUUCCUUAGUUUGAAAAGUAGUAGUUAUUAUAGUUUAAUGUUAAAUUACUUGUGAAGUCUUUUAGUUUUUAAGAUUUUCGUUGAGUUCCUCUCAGAUGAAUAUUUUAUUAUAGCACCUGCACUUGCAUAUAAAAUAUAGUUUUGUUCAAAACAAUCAAUCUUUAUCAUUUUCUAUAUAUACUAUUAGCUUUUAAGAUAGAAUAGGAACAUAUAUGAACAUACAAAAUAUUUACUCUCUUAAUAAUAUUUCCUGUUGGAUUCUUUUAAGAUAGAAUCUUUAUCAUCUAUAUAUUAAGAAUUUACUUGUUUAGCCACAUGAUUGAUUCUUUGAAACAUUUUAACACCGAUCCUCACAAAUUGUCAUCACAGGUUUUUGAGGUAAAGUACAUGCUCUUAUGGUAAUCAUGGCUUAUGUUACAAAUAGGAGUUUGAUUAGUGAAAAAUUGAUAAGAAUGUGACUAAGUGGGACUUAGAAUAUAAAGAUUUAGGUGAACUAGAGUUCACUAACUCUUACAAAUGAUACCAUUCAACUAUAUAUUUAUAGUUCUAACUAGUAUUAUAACAUUGCACUCAGGAUUCAUUUUAUUGUGUGUUUAAUUAUAUUUAAACUUAGAGUGAGUAACGGAUGCAACUAUUUUAAUACUAGACAUGGUUAUAAGGAAACAAAUUAACUUUGGGUAUUAACUUUAUUAUUUCAUAGAAUCAAAGUGUUAAGUGACGAGGAAAAUGACAAAUAAGUGUGGCUCUUCUUUUUCUCUGAUGUAAUAUAAGUGUUGCUCCUCUGCUACAUUAUUUGAAUUCUACUUGUUUUGUGAAGAUCUGAAUUUGAUUGUGAUUGUGAUGAAACUCUAGGAUGAUGAUAGUGACCUAGAAUAUAAGGUUGAAGCAUUUCCCCCAAUAAGCACGGAAGUAGCAUCAGAGACUGUGGCAUGUGUGAAGGUGAAGGUCACUGGCCCUAUACCUUCUCCAAUUGUACAUUAUAUCUAGAUUUUUUGCCUUAGAUGGUUACACAGUGCUUGUUUGAUUGCAUGUUCUUAUGAUUAAAUUGCAUUUUAUUGAAUCUAAUUCCUACCUUAAUUUCCAUAUUUUACUUCUGAAAGAAGUCUAUAAUAUAUUUUACAAUGUUUUGCAAAUCUGUUUCAUACUGGACAAACAUAAGACUAGCAAUUGUGCUAUUCUUUAACAUUUCACUGGCAUGUUUCUGUGAAUUGUUCAUUCCUUAGGUAAUGAUUGCUUCACUAAGUGAAUCAACACCUAGUAGUUCAAAAAUUGAGGCUCCAUUGACUAUACAUGCUCCAGUUUGCAAUUCAUCUAAAACUUCUAACAAGGGCUCACAAUCCUCUAGUUUGAUGCAAGGAACAGAGAUUUGUUUUUUGUUACUAUUAAGAGACAGACACUGCCAGCUGUGUCAUUGACAGAUAAUAUUGAAAGCAAGGGAUUAGAUGGUAGCAACAUGGCUUCCAAAAAGAGAAAAAUAGCAUGGCCAGAGGAAGAGGACAAUUUGCUACAAGAUUCUGUUCAAAGAUUUGGUGAAGGGAAUUGGGCUACCAUUGCAAAAGGAGGCAACUUUCCUGUUAAGAGAACUGCUAAACAAAUAGAUCAAGAUGCUGAUGUGGGAAGAUGGGUUUUGCCAAGGAAGGAGUGCAAGUCUGGUGGAAGACAUGGACGGAGGAGGAGAUGAUCCAAUGAGAAAGGCCUUUAGCAAGAUGUCCAUUCAGUUAUAUAAUUAUAGAGAAGGGUGGGUACUGGCUUCCUCCUGAAUGGACCGACCAGUUUGAUUCUGGCAUUCAGAUAAAAUGCAUGAAAUGUGGAGAAAAAUAUGAGCGUUAGAAAAGGAUGAUGGAUCUUACUGUUGAGAUAGAAGGGGACAUAGCAACUCUGCAGGAAGCUCAUUUUGAGUUUAUAGUCUUGUAGUAUUUUUUGUUGUUUAGAUUUGUAACAUGAUUUAUUACUUUUCAAGAGAAAUUUGUGUAUCAAUAUUUUGAGUUUAAUGAAAUAUCUCAUUUUGUAGUAA
Molecule: non-coding RNA, 2573 nt
Organism: Arachis ipaensis
Lineage: Eukaryota; Viridiplantae; Streptophyta; Magnoliopsida; Fabales; Fabaceae
Source: RefSeq, a predicted model, not a curated record